This 484-nucleotide ribosomal RNA is filed under the name uncultured bacterium. RNAcentral describes it as "partial 16S ribosomal RNA". It matches the Rfam family "Bacterial small subunit ribosomal RNA", at positions 30 to 507 of the family's 1533-position model. The record is from RNAcentral.
AUUGAACGCUGGCGGCAGGCCUAACAUAUGCAAGUCGAGCGGAUGAAGGGAGCUUGCUCCUGGAUUCAGCGGCGGACGGGUGAGUAAUGCCUAGGAAUCUGCCUGGUAGUGGGGGAUAACGUCCGGACACGGGCGCUAAUACCGCAUACGUCCUGAGGGAGAAAGUGGGGGAUCUUCGGACCUCACGCUAUCAGAUGAGCCUAGGUCGGAUUAGCUAGUUGGUGGGGUAAAGGCCUACCAAGGCGACGAUCCGUAACUGGUCUGAGAGGAUGAUCAGUCACACUGGAACUGAGACACGGUCCAGACUCCUACGGGAGGCAGCAGUGGGGAAUAUUGGACAAUGGGCGAAAGCCUGAUCCAGCCAUGCCGCGUGUGUGAAGAAGGUCUUCGGAUUGUAAAGCACUUUAAGUUGGGAGGAAGGGCAGUAAGUUAAUACCUUGCUGUUUUGACGUUACCAACAGAAUAAGCACCGGCUAACUUCGUG